GACGAACGCUGGCGGCGUGCUUAACACAUGCAAGUCGAACGGAAAGGCCUGCUUUCCCUUGUGGAUUGCGGGUACUCGAGUGGCGAACGGGUGAGUAACACGUGAGUGAUCUGCCCCCAACUUGGGUAUAAGCCUGGGAAACUGGGUCUAAUUCCCGAUAGGACUGCAGGGUGGUGCCUGUGGUGGAACACGAUUUUCUAGUGGUUGGGGAUGAGCUCGCGGCCUAUCAGCUUGUUGGUGGGGUAAUGGCCUACCAAGGCGGCGACGGGUAGCCGGCCUGAGAGGGUGGACGGCCACAUUGGGACUGAGUCACGGCCCAGACGCCUACGGGAGGCAGCAGUGGGGAAUAUUGCACAAUGGGCGGAAGCCUGAUGCAGCGACGCCGCGUGGGGGAUGACGGCCUUCGGGUUGUAAACUCCUUUCGACCGCGAGGAAGCCACCUGGUUGGAAGGGUGGUGACGGUAGUGGUAGAAGAAGCACCGGCUAACUACGUG
Molecule: ribosomal RNA, 494 nt
Filed under: uncultured bacterium
Lineage: Bacteria
Description: partial 16S ribosomal RNA
Rfam family: Bacterial small subunit ribosomal RNA
Source: RNAcentral